This 318-nucleotide long non-coding RNA is filed under the name Homo sapiens (human). Its description in RNAcentral is "non-protein coding lnc-LAD1-1:4". Lineage: Eukaryota; Metazoa; Chordata; Mammalia; Primates; Hominidae. The record is from RNAcentral.
AUGUCUGACAUAGAAGAGGUGGUGGAAGAGUACGAGGAGGAGUGAGUAUCUGGAGCAUCUUGCCUGAAGAGGAGGACUGGAGAGAGGACGAAGACAGCAGGAGGAGGCAGCGGAAGAGGAUGCUGAAGCAGAGGCUGAGACCGAGGAGACCAGGGCAGAAAAGAUGAAGAAGAAGAGGAAGCAAAGGAGGCUGAAAUGGCCCAAUGGAGGAGUCCAAACCAAAGCCCAGUCGUUCAUGCCCAACUUGGUGCCUCCCAAGAUCCCCGAUGGAGAGAGAGUGGACUUUGAGACAUCCACCGGAAGCGCAUGGAGAAGGAC